UUGCAAUUAAUAAACUUUAUGGAAAUGAAAUCUUCUAAUUUCGUGAUUAGUCCUCAGGUGAUCCAACAUCGAUCGAUGACUCUAAACGGCUGUCGAUCGAUUUUAAUUGGCUUCGGUCGAUCGACAUUGCUCUUCAAGCGUCGAUUGGUGCUCUACACGUAAAAGCACUCCAAAGUGUCCCAAAAGCAACAUUUCCUUCUAUCAAGUAACUGAACCUGUAAUUGCUUUGAA
RNAcentral lists this long non-coding RNA (231 nucleotides) under Brassica napus (rape). RNAcentral describes it as "long non-coding RNA (BNAP_LNC003919)". The record is from RNAcentral. Lineage: Eukaryota; Viridiplantae; Streptophyta; Magnoliopsida; Brassicales; Brassicaceae.